Molecule: ribosomal RNA, 253 nt
Filed under: uncultured bacterium
Lineage: Bacteria
Description: partial 16S ribosomal RNA
Rfam family: Bacterial small subunit ribosomal RNA
Source: RNAcentral
UACAGAGGUGGCAAGCGUUGUUCGGAAUUACUGGGCGUAAAGGGCGCGUAGGCGGUUCGUUAAGUCCUGUGUGAAAUCCCCCGGCUCAACUGGGGAACUGCACAGGAAACUAGCGGGCUUGAGUUCGGGAGAGGGAAGCGGAAUUCCGGGUGUAGCGGUGAAAUGCGUAGAUAUCCGGAGGAACACCGGUGGCGAAGGCGGCUUCCUGGACCGACACUGACGCUGAGGCGCGAUAGCGUGGGGAUCAAACAGG